RNAcentral lists this ribosomal RNA (495 nucleotides) under uncultured bacterium. RNAcentral's name for it is "partial 16S ribosomal RNA". It matches the Rfam family "Bacterial small subunit ribosomal RNA", at positions 29 to 506 of the family's 1533-position model. The record is from RNAcentral.
AUGAACGCUGGCGGCGUGCCUAAUACCUGCCAGUCGAGCGAACAGACGAGGAGCUUGCUCCUCUGACGUUAGCGGCGGACGGGUGAGUAACACGUGGAUAACCUACCUAUAAGACUGGGAUAACUUCGGGAAACCGGAGCUAAUACCGGAUAAUAUAUUGAACCGCAUGGUUCAAUAGUGAAAGACGGUUUUGCUGUCACUUAUAGAUGGAUCCGCGCCGCAUUAGCUAGUUGGUAAGGUAACGGCUUACCAAGGCAACGAUGCGUAGCCGACCUGAGAGGUUGAUCGGCCCACUUGGACCUGAGCCCCGGCCCAGCCUCCUACGGGGGGCAGCAGUGGGGAAUCUUCCGCAAGGGGCGAAAGCCUGACGGGGCAACGCCGCGUGGGUGAUGAAGGUCUUCGGUUCGUAAAACUCUUUUAUUAGGGAAGAAAAAAUUUGUAAGUAACUAUGCCCGUCUUGACGGUACCUAAUCAGAAAGCCCCGGCUAACUACGU